RNAcentral lists this long non-coding RNA (867 nucleotides) under Leptinotarsa decemlineata (Colorado potato beetle). RNAcentral's name for it is "uncharacterized LOC111517855, transcript variant X1". The record is from RNAcentral. Lineage: Eukaryota; Metazoa; Arthropoda; Insecta; Coleoptera; Chrysomelidae.
UAUUUAUUUAUUUUGAUAAGACAUGCGUAUAUUCAAUAUGUCGAAACAGUCUCAACAAAUAGUAGCGUCUCUAAUAGAAUACUUUGGAAGAUAACGUGAGAAUUGAGGACCUUUACUUCCACUAACUGCUGUUAAAGACAGGGUUGCAGAUCUCUUGAAGUCGAGUAUUACUACUAUAAACCGUAUUGCGACUGAUUCUAAUAGAGAGGUGAAGUAUUCAGCAAUCCAUCGAAACAGUGGUAGACGGGUGAAACCUGUGGUAGAUAUUGAUGAUUUCGAUCAAACUGCUAUUCGAAAUGUGAUCUAUGAUAUGUACAAAAUCGGUAAGUAUUUUGUAUUGAUUUAUUCGAUAUACAAUAUUUGACGACAACAAUAAUUUCAGGAAAACAUAUCAAUUUGCAAACUUUGAAAGAUGAACUGGAAGAACGUGAUCUCUUCAAAUGUUGUGAGACAUAUUUAUAGAAAAUUCUGAAGAAAAUUAGUUUUACAUACAAAAAAGAUGAUCUACGUUAUGGUUUGAUGGAGCUGCCUGGUAUUGCAAUGAAACAUAUACAUUUUCACAUGACUACAUGAAACUUAAGAUUGUAUUCUUGGAUGAAACUUGGGUAUUCAAAGAUGGUACCAUUGGGCGACCCUGGCAAAAUUCAAAUGUGAAGAGUGAUGGUGCAAGAUAUAUUGUGAUUCAUGCUGGAUGCAGAACCGGGUUUAUUAAUAGAGCAGACCUGAUUAUUUGUUCAAAAACGAAGAAUUAUGAUUACCACGGAGAAAUGAACCAACACAGUUUUCUACAUUGGUUUGAAUAACAACUUUUAAUAAAUUUAGAAGAGCCUUCAGUUAUAGUCCUGGAUAAUGCAAGUUAUUACAGCA